RNAcentral lists this ribosomal RNA (253 nucleotides) under uncultured bacterium. RNAcentral describes it as "partial 16S ribosomal RNA". It matches the Rfam family "Bacterial small subunit ribosomal RNA", at positions 524 to 776 of the family's 1533-position model. The record is from RNAcentral.
CACGUAGGGCGCAAGCGUUGUCCGGAAUUAUUGGGCGUAAAGAGCUCGUAGGUGGUUUGUUACGUCUGCUGUGAAAACCUAGGGCUUAACCCUGGGCUUGCAGUGGAUACGGGCAGACUAGAGGUAGGUAGGGGAGAAUGGAAUUCCUGGUGUAGCGGUGAAAUGCGCAGAUAUCAGGAGGAACACCGGUGGCGAAGGCGGCCACCUGGACCAACACUGACACUGAGGUGCGAAAGCGUGGGGAGCAAACAGG